UACGGAGGGGGCUAGCGUUGUUCGGAAUUACUGGGCGUAAAGCGCACGUAGGCGGCUUUGUAAGUCAGGGGUGAAAGCCUGGAGCUCAACUCCAGAACUGCCUUUGAGACUGCAUCGCUUGAAUCCGGGAGAGGUGAGUGGAAUUCCGAGUGUAGAGGUGAAAUUCGUAGAUAUUCGGAAGAACACCAGUGGCGAAGGCGGCUCACUGGACCGGCAUUGACGCUGAGGUGCGAAAGCGUGGGGAUCAAACAGG
RNAcentral lists this ribosomal RNA (253 nucleotides) under uncultured bacterium. RNAcentral describes it as "partial 16S ribosomal RNA". It matches the Rfam family "Bacterial small subunit ribosomal RNA", at positions 524 to 776 of the family's 1533-position model. The record is from RNAcentral.